UGUAUGAGCUGUUUCGGAUAUUUCGUCUCCUAGAUCCUGGCCUGGCUUAUUUCGUUUCGGCGCUGCUGAGACCUCCUUUCGCGGAAUAUUACUCAAUAUCGACAGUGUGCGAAGAACGCGAGUUCACCUUCUUGACGAAAAUCGUGGACUAACAGUUCGAAGUCAUUGAACUACUUCCAAAAGUUGUAUCGACAUCAACAGGGUUACGAUUUCAGUGCAAUAUGGUGCAGGAUGACCUUAUCACGAUAACCCAUGAUUAUAAACCAUUAUAAACACAGAAUCAACAAAAACAUCUGCGACACGCACCUGGUUACAUUUCUCAAAUAAA
Sycon ciliatum is the source of this 328-nucleotide long non-coding RNA. RefSeq lists it as uncharacterized. The record is from RefSeq and is a predicted model, not a curated record. The transcript is spliced from 3 exons. NCBI's taxonomy places the organism in Eukaryota, Metazoa, Porifera, Calcarea, Leucosolenida, Sycettidae.